GCUCGGCUAGCUCAGUCGGUAGAGCAUGAGACUCUUAAUCUCAGGGUCGUGAGUUCGAGCUCCACGUCGGGCG
This 73-nucleotide transfer RNA is filed under the name Schistosoma margrebowiei. It matches the Rfam family "tRNA". Rfam says of the family: Transfer RNA (tRNA) molecules are approximately 80 nucleotides in length. Their secondary structure includes four short double-helical elements and three loops (D, anti-codon, and T loops). Lineage: Eukaryota; Metazoa; Platyhelminthes; Trematoda; Strigeidida; Schistosomatidae. The record is from Rfam by way of RNAcentral.